This 480-nucleotide ribosomal RNA is filed under the name Bacillus sp. HSS-7006. Its description in RNAcentral is "bacterial SSU rRNA". It matches the Rfam family "Bacterial small subunit ribosomal RNA", at positions 1 to 480 of the family's 1533-position model. Lineage: Bacteria; Bacillati; Bacillota; Bacilli; Caryophanales; Bacillaceae. The record is from RNAcentral.
UUAGAGUUUGAUCCUGGCUCAGGACGAACGCUGGCGGCGUGCCUAAUACAUGCAAGUCGAGCGGACUUGCUGGAGCUUGCUCCAGCAGGUUAGCGGCGGACGGGUGAGUAACACGUGGGCAACCUGCCUGUAAGACUGGGAUAACUCCGGGAAACCGGAGCUAAUACCGGAUAGUAUCUUGAACCGCAUGGUUCAAGUUGGAAAGACGGUUUCGGCUGUCACUUACAGAUGGGCCCGCGGCGCAUUAGCUAGUUGGUGAGGUAAUGGCUCACCAAGGCAACGAUGCGUAGCCGACCUGAGAGGGUGAUCGGCCACACUGGGACUGAGACACGGCCCAGACUCCUACGGGAGGCAGCAGUAGGGAAUCUUCCGCAAUGGACGAAAGUCUGACGGAGCAACGCCGCGUGAGUGAUGAAGGUUUUCGGAUCGUAAAACUCUGUUGUCAGGGAAGAACAAGUGCGAGAGUAACUGCUCGCACCU